This 897-nucleotide ribosomal RNA is filed under the name Fusarium foetens. Its description in RNAcentral is "LSU rRNA". It matches the Rfam family "Eukaryotic large subunit ribosomal RNA", at positions 38 to 964 of the family's 3401-position model. Lineage: Eukaryota; Fungi; Ascomycota; Sordariomycetes; Hypocreales; Nectriaceae. The record is from RNAcentral.
GCAUAUCAAUAAGCGGAGGAAAAGAAACCAACAGGGAUUGCCCUAGUAACGGCGAGUGAAGCGGCAACAGCUCAAAUUUGAAAUCUGGCUCUCGGGCCCGAGUUGUAAUUUGUAGAGGAUACUUUUGAUGCGGUGCCUUCCGAGUUCCCUGGAACGGGACGCCAUAGAGGGUGAGAGCCCCGUCUGGUUGGAUGCCAAAUCUCUGUAAAGUUCCUUCAACGAGUCGAGUAGUUUGGGAAUGCUGCUCUAAAUGGGAGGUAUAUGUCUUCUAAAGCUAAAUACCGGCCAGAGACCGAUAGCGCACAAGUAGAGUGAUCGAAAGAUGAAAAGCACUUUGAAAAGAGAGUUAAAAAGUACGUGAAAUUGUUGAAAGGGAAGCGUUUAUGACCAGACUUGGGCUUGGUUAAUCAUCUGGGGUUCUCCCCAGUGCACUUUUCCAGUCCAGGCCAGCAUCAGUUUUCCCCGGGGGAUAAAGGCGGCGGGAAUGUGGCUCUCUUCGGGGAGUGUUAUAGCCCGUCGUGUAAUACCCUGGGGGGGACUGAGGUUCGCGCAUCUGCAAGGAUGCUGGCGUAAUGGUCAUCAACGACCCGUCUUGAAACACGGACCAAGGAGUCGUCUUCGUAUGCGAGUGUUCGGGUGUCAAACCCCUACGCGUAAUGAAAGUGAACGCAGGUGAGAGCUUCGGCGCAUCAUCGACCGAUCCUGAUGUUCUCGGAUGGAUUUGAGUAAGAGCAUACGGGGCCGGACCCGAAAGAAGGUGAACUAUGCCUGUAUAGGGUGAAGCCAGAGGAAACUCUGGUGGAGGCUCGCAGCGGUUCUGACGUGCAAAUCGAUCGUCAAAUAUGGGCAUGGGGGGCGAAAGACUAAUCGAACCUUCUAGUAGCUGGUUUCCGCCGA